RNAcentral lists this long non-coding RNA (382 nucleotides) under Chrysemys picta bellii (western painted turtle). RNAcentral's name for it is "lncRNA (ENSCPBG00000009068.1)". Lineage: Eukaryota; Metazoa; Chordata; Testudines; Emydidae. The record is from RNAcentral.
CUUUCUUCAUCUUGACAUACUUUUGAAGUAGUUCCAUGGGAGGAUGAAAGGAACCUUGGCAGACAUUAAAGAUGUACUAGAUCAUAGCUAUCAUCGUGGGUAGAAGUACCGGACCUGCUAUAGAUCCUGUAGACUCAAGGAAGGAACUGCUGCUGGGAACCAAGAUGUCUACUAUGACUGCUGUUGCUAAUUAGCUGGAUUCUCUUCAGGCAGUUUGGUCCAUUGUGAAGCAUAUGAAUUCAGGUGAAUGUGAUUCACCAAACUGGAAGCUGUCGUUCAAAAAUGCAUGUACAAUUUGGGGAUACAUGCAUAUUGAAUCUCUCCCCUUGUAAGUAUUCUCACACUUCUUUUCAAACUGUCUGUACUGAACUAUCUUGAUUAU